GCCCUGCCGUAAACUUAGAUACUUCCCCACAACAAGUAUCCGCCUGGGCACUACGAGCGCCAGCUUAAAACCCAAAGGACUUGGCGGUGCUUCAGACCCCCCUAGAGGAGCCUGUUCUAGAACCGAUAACCCCCGUUCAACCUCACUACUCCUUGCUUUUCCCGCCUAUAUACCGCCGUCGCCAGCUUACCCUGUGAAGGAGUCACAGUAAGCAGGAUGGGCAAUGCCCAGAACGUCAGGUCGAGGUGUAGCGUACGGAGUAGGAAGAAAUGGGCUACAUUAUCUGAAGCAGAUUAAAUAACGAAGAGUCACCUGAAACCGGUGACUUGAAGGUGGAUUUAGCAGUAAGGGGAGAAUAGAGCGCCCCCCUGAAGCCGGCUCUGAAGCGCGCACACACCGCCCGUCACUCUCCCCGACAACAUCUAUAUAUAGUAUAUAACACAGCAAAAGCUAUAAGGGGAGGCAAGUCGUAACAUGGUAAGUGUACCGGAAGGUGCACUUGGAAUAAC
RNAcentral lists this ribosomal RNA (509 nucleotides) under Limnothrissa miodon. Its description in RNAcentral is "partial 12S ribosomal RNA". It matches the Rfam family "Bacterial small subunit ribosomal RNA", at positions 794 to 1527 of the family's 1533-position model. The record is from RNAcentral. Lineage: Eukaryota; Metazoa; Chordata; Actinopteri; Clupeiformes; Clupeidae.